Molecule: ribosomal RNA, 252 nt
Filed under: uncultured bacterium
Lineage: Bacteria
Description: partial 16S ribosomal RNA
Rfam family: Bacterial small subunit ribosomal RNA
Source: RNAcentral
ACGUAGGGUGCGAGCGUUGUCCGGAAUUAUUGGGCGUAAAGGGCUCGUAGGCGGUCUGUCGCGUCGAACGUGAAAACCCAGGGCUUAACCCUGGGCCUGCUUCCGAUACGGGCAGACUAGAGGUAUGCAGGGGAGAACGGAAUUCCUGGUGUAGCGGUGAAAUGCGCAGAUAUCAGGAGGAACACCGGUGGCGAAGGCGGUUCUCUGGGCAUUACCUGACGCUGAGGAGCGAAAGUGUGGGGAGCGAACAGG